UGGUCUGAAUUCACGUUUCCCAUGGUGUU
This 29-nucleotide non-coding RNA is filed under the name Rattus norvegicus (Norway rat). Lineage: Eukaryota; Metazoa; Chordata; Mammalia; Rodentia; Muridae. The record is from RNAcentral.